UUGCACGCUGGCGGCAGGCCUCACACAUGCAAGUCGAGCGGAUGAAGGGAGCUUGCUCCUGGAUUCAGCGGCGGACGGGUGAGUAAUGCCUAGGAAUCUGCCUGGUAGUGGGGGAUAACGUCCGGAAACGGGCGCUAAUACCGCAUACGUCCUGAGGGAGAAAGUGGGGGAUCUUCGGACCUCACGCUAUCAGAUGAGCCUAGGUCGGAUUAGCUAGUUGGUGGGGUAAAGGCCUACCAAGGCGACGAUCCGUAACUGGUCUGAGAGGAUGAUCAGUCACACUGGAACUGAGACACGGUCCAGACUCCUACGGGAGGCAGCAGUGGGGAAUAUUGGACAAUGGGCGAAGGCCUGAUCCAGCCAUGCCGCGUGUGUGAAGAAGGUCUUCGGAUUGUAAAGCACUUUAAGUUGGGAGGAAGGGCAGUAAGUUAAUACCUUGCUGUUUUGACGUUACCAACAGAAUAAGCACCGGCUAACUUCGUG
Molecule: ribosomal RNA, 483 nt
Filed under: uncultured bacterium
Lineage: Bacteria
Description: partial 16S ribosomal RNA
Rfam family: Bacterial small subunit ribosomal RNA
Source: RNAcentral